This 32-nucleotide non-coding RNA is filed under the name Homo sapiens (human). Lineage: Eukaryota; Metazoa; Chordata; Mammalia; Primates; Hominidae. The record is from RNAcentral.
UGCUGAAUGAAUAAAUGGAUGGAUAAAUACUA